GCUCAGGUAGCUCAGUUGGUAGAGCGGCGGACUGAAAAUCCGCAGGUCGCAAGGUCGGAACUUGCCCUGAGCA
Molecule: transfer RNA, 73 nt
Filed under: Oscillospiraceae bacterium
Lineage: Bacteria; Bacillati; Bacillota; Clostridia; Eubacteriales; Oscillospiraceae
Description: tRNA-Phe
Rfam family: tRNA
About the family: Transfer RNA (tRNA) molecules are approximately 80 nucleotides in length.
Source: RNAcentral